GGAUACAUAGCUCAGUGGCAGAGUGCUUGCCUAACAUGCAACGAGGACUUGGGUCUAAUCCCCAGUGGUACCA
Molecule: transfer RNA, 73 nt
Filed under: Ictidomys tridecemlineatus (thirteen-lined ground squirrel)
Lineage: Eukaryota; Metazoa; Chordata; Mammalia; Rodentia; Sciuridae
Description: Spermophilus tridecemlineatus (thirteen-lined ground squirrel) tRNA
Rfam family: tRNA
About the family: Transfer RNA (tRNA) molecules are approximately 80 nucleotides in length. Their secondary structure includes four short double-helical elements and three loops (D, anti-codon, and T loops).
Source: Rfam by way of RNAcentral